GGGGCCUUAGCUCAGAUGGGAGCGCGCCUGAUUCGCAUUCAGUCGGUCAGCGGUUCGAGCCCGCUAGGCGCCACCA
This 76-nucleotide transfer RNA is filed under the name Candidatus Neptunichlamydia sp. RNAcentral's name for it is "tRNA-Ala". It matches the Rfam family "tRNA". Rfam says of the family: Transfer RNA (tRNA) molecules are approximately 80 nucleotides in length. Their secondary structure includes four short double-helical elements and three loops (D, anti-codon, and T loops). The record is from RNAcentral. Lineage: Bacteria; Pseudomonadati; Chlamydiota; Chlamydiia; Parachlamydiales; Simkaniaceae.